GAGUUUGAUCCUGGCUCAGGACGAACGCUGGCGGCGCGCCUAACACAUGCAAGUCGAACGGAACUGUUUUGGAAGAUUUCUUCGGAAUGAAUUUGAUUUAGUUUAGUGGCGGACGGGUGAGUAACGCGUGAGUAACCUGCCUUCAAGAGGGGGAUAACAUUCUGAAAAGAAUGCUAAUACCGCAUGAUAUAUCGGAACCACAUGGUUUUGAUAUCAAAGAUUUUAUCGCUUGAAGAUGGACUCGCGUCCGAUUAGUUAGUUGGUGAGGUAACGGCUCACCAAGACCGCGAUCGGUAGCCGGACUGAGAGGUUGAACGGCCACAUUGGGACUGAGACACGGCCCAGACUCCUACGGGAGGCAGCAGUGGGGGAUAUUGCGCAAUGGGGGCAACCCUGACGCAGCAACGCCGCGUGAAGGAUGAAGGUUUUCGGAUUGUAAACUUCUUUUAUUAAGGACGAAAAUUGACGGUACUUAAUGAAUAAGCUCCGGCUAACUACGUGCCAGCCGCCGCGGUAAUUC
Molecule: ribosomal RNA, 520 nt
Filed under: uncultured bacterium
Lineage: Bacteria
Description: bacterial SSU rRNA
Rfam family: Bacterial small subunit ribosomal RNA
Source: RNAcentral